RNAcentral lists this ribosomal RNA (367 nucleotides) under uncultured organism. RNAcentral describes it as "bacterial LSU rRNA". It matches the Rfam family "Bacterial large subunit ribosomal RNA", at positions 2099 to 2465 of the family's 2925-position model. The record is from RNAcentral.
CUUUACUGUAGCUUGGUAUUGGGUUCGGGCUUUGAUUGCGCAGGAUAGGUGGGAGGCUUAGAAGGUGUCCUUGUGGGGAUGCUGGAGCCACUGGUGAGAUACCACUCUAUCAAGGCUAGAAUUCUAACCAAUAGCCGUUAUCCGGCAUUGGGACAGUAUCAGGUGGGCAGUUUGACUGGGGCGGUCGCCUCCUAAAUGAUAACGGAGGCGCGCAAAGGUUCUCUCAGGCUGGUUGGAAAUCAGCCGUAGAGUGUAAAGGCAUAAGAGAGCUUGAUUGCGAGACGAACAUGUCGAGCAAGGACGAAAGUCGGCCUUAGUGAUCCGACGGCACUGAGUGGAAGGGCCGUCGCUCAACGGAUAAAAGUUA